RNAcentral lists this long non-coding RNA (470 nucleotides) under Phaseolus vulgaris (common bean). Its description in RNAcentral is "long non-coding RNA (PVUL_LNC002301)". The record is from RNAcentral. Lineage: Eukaryota; Viridiplantae; Streptophyta; Magnoliopsida; Fabales; Fabaceae.
UUUUUUUGUGGUUAUUAAUUUUAUACAUUGUGUUAUGAUGCAGCGGUGGUUAUAGUUGGAAACUUGGUAGUGCCUUCUACUCUAUAAUGCAUAUGUCUUCUGAUUUUCUGGUUUGCAAAUGGGAAACCAUGUUUUAAUUUUCAGUACUCUUUGGUACCCAAGACUCUAAAUUUUGUUAGAUUCGUGGGACAUUGGUUAGGGUCCACAAUACCAAAUACUUGAAGGAGGCACUCAUCUUUCUGUUUCUGUAUUUUUUUGUCUCUAAACAUUUCAGAAUCAUUCAUAAAAUUUAGUUAAUUCUUUAUUUGGGGGUUAUACCACUUUUGACUUGGAGAGUACGUAUCAUUAACUGUAGCCAAAUAUGGUAAACACACAUCUUCAUAGAAAGAAACUCUCAUAAACUAAUCCACUGUGAUUGUUGCAUCUGAUUUUAAUGAAUUGGUACUAUCUGAUGGAAAUUGAGUUGUUAC